RNAcentral lists this unclassified non-coding RNA (165 nucleotides) under uncultured Vertexicola. Its description in RNAcentral is "sequence contains ITS1". Lineage: Eukaryota; Fungi; Ascomycota; Sordariomycetes; Annulatascales; Annulatascaceae. The record is from RNAcentral.
CAGAGCCUAAAAACUCUCAAACCCACUGUUAAUUAUACCUUUUUUGUUGCUUUGGCGGGCAGUCCCAGGGCGGGGCCUUGCCUGUAUUUUUGCGGGUGUCCGCCGAAAGCACCCCUAAAAUUCUUUUUUUAUGGCUGUCUGAGUUUUUUUAAAAAAAAUAAGUCA